Molecule: long non-coding RNA, 256 nt
Filed under: Capra hircus (goat)
Lineage: Eukaryota; Metazoa; Chordata; Mammalia; Artiodactyla; Bovidae
Description: lncRNA (ENSCHIG00000000769.1)
Source: RNAcentral
GUCGUUAACCUUCAAGUACCCAUGGAAUGCCUAACCGAGACACUAUUCUGGUGAGAAGCUGGGGAACUGUGCAGCAUAAGGAAUUAAGCCUCGCCUGUAGAAUGGUUAUGUUCAAGAGUAAUUAAGAAACAGUUGUGCAGAGACAAGAUGGCACAAUAGAAAGGCAUGAACUCAUCUUUUCUUACGGAAACACCAAAAUCACAACUAACUGCUGAACAACCAUCAACAACAGCACCAUCAGAAACAAAACCCUGGA